RNAcentral lists this transfer RNA (65 nucleotides) under Pseudoniphargus elongatus. Its description in RNAcentral is "tRNA-Gly". The record is from RNAcentral. Lineage: Eukaryota; Metazoa; Arthropoda; Malacostraca; Amphipoda; Allocrangonyctidae.
UAAGCUUUAAGUUAUAUGAAACUAAGAGCCUUCCAAGCUCCCUAAAAGAAGCACCUUAAGCUUAA